ACGCACGCUGGCGGCGUGCUUCACACAUGCAAGUCGAACGGAAAGGCCCUGCUUGCAGGGUGCUCGAGUGGCGAACGGGUGAGUAACACGUGGGUGAUCUGCCCCUUACUUUGGGAUAAGCCUGGGAAACUGGGUCUAAUACUGGAUAGGACCAUGCUGUAGGUGGUGUGGUGGAAAGAUUAGUUUCGGUAAGGGAUGAGCUCGCGGCCUAUCAGCUUGUUGGUGGGGUAAUGGCCUACCAAGGCGUCGACGGGUAGCCGGCCUGAGAGGGUGGACGGCCACAUUGGGACUGAGAUACGGCCCAGACUCCUACGGGAGGCAGCAGUGGGGAAUAUUGCACAAUGGGCGCAAGCCUGAUGCAGCGACGCCGCGUGGGGGAUGACGGCCUUCGGGUUGUAAACUCCUUUCAGCCAUGACGAAGCCCUUGUGGUGACGGUAGUGGUAGAAGAAGCACCGGCUAACUACGUG
RNAcentral lists this ribosomal RNA (468 nucleotides) under uncultured bacterium. Its description in RNAcentral is "partial 16S ribosomal RNA". It matches the Rfam family "Bacterial small subunit ribosomal RNA", at positions 29 to 507 of the family's 1533-position model. The record is from RNAcentral.